Molecule: RNA transcript, 2886 nt
Organism: Lolium perenne
Lineage: Eukaryota; Viridiplantae; Streptophyta; Magnoliopsida; Poales; Poaceae
Source: RefSeq, a predicted model, not a curated record
CGAGACCACUCUGUCUCGUCUCUCUCGCUCCUACCUACCUCUCUCCUGCGAUCUGGACGGCGGCGCGGCGCGGCGGCACGGCGGCGGCGCAACCAGUCGAGCAGAUCAAGGACCCGUGGUUCUCCCUCCCUCUGCCCUCUCCAACCGGCUGCCUGCUCUCCCGGCGCUGCGGCUGGUAACCGUGGCCGUGGCAGCGAUGAUCGUCGGCGCGAUGGUUGACGUCCGGCCACAGGACCGUCGGCUUCUUGGAGCUCCGGAUCCAUGGCUGCCGGCGAUCGAUGAACGGCCCGCGGGUUGUUGGUGCGAGUAGUUGCAGAUCUAUCCGCACAAGCCUAGCUUUUCCCGUGAAACCAACCGUACAAGCCUAGCUUGAGCAGGUAUUAACCGAACGGCAAAAAAGUAGGAGGAUUAUGCAGAAGGGAUUAGUGGGGGUAUGGGUGGCCGGUGCGGGUUCACCCAAUUACUCGAGCGAUUCAAUACACCAGCGUAUUCGCCCCGCUGUAACCGAACGAGGCCUAAGGUUGUUGCAUUCCCUGGGCUCUCAGCGAUUGGACGGUGCGUGCGUCCCCGUGUGGGCCAGCCCAGCGUUUACUCAGUUUGAGUCCCAAAUUCGUCUUCUCUCUUCAUCCAAAUCUAUUUUCUCUUAACCCUCAAUCUCCACAAUAAAUCAGCCUCGUCGGGGCGAGCGGACUGUGUGGAAGCUCCGGAGCGGACUGUGUUGGUGAAUCGGCGGCGGGGUUUGACCUGGUGGCGUGGUGGCAGUGAAUCGGUGGCAGGCUCCCGCACGAUUCAUUUUUGUCCGAGGCGAAGAACGGCACCCGCAUCGAGCGGGGAGGCGGCGGAAGGGGUUGCAGGGUUCGAGCUUGGGGCGCUGGUGGUGAAUCGGCGGCGGGGUUCGAGCUGGUGAUGCGGUGAAUCGCCAUCUCCUUCUCCGCGCGCCCCUCGACAUCGAUCCGUCCCCGCGCCGCCUCCCCCUACAGGCCGCGUCCGCGCGGGGCAGCCCAAGGGAGAAAAGCGGUGGACGCCCGGCGAACUACAUCGAGUUGGCGAUGGCGGUGGAGGAGGAGAAGACCGCGGCGAGGUCCUUCGUGGGCAGCCCGACGGAGGAGAAGGCAGGGCCAUGGCGAGGUCCUUCGCGGGCGGCCUGACGGAGGAGAAGGCGCGGCCGCGGCGAGGUCCUUCUUGGGCGGCCUGACGGACGAGAAGGUGCGGCAUCUGCUGGCCAAGACGGUGGAGACGGAGAGCUUGCUCGGCACCAGGUCAUCAUGGUCGUGGAAGCUGGCAUCCGUGCCAGCUGUCAUGUCGAUGCUGCAGGUAGCUGCAGCUGGGACUGGUGAGCAGCUCAGUGAAGAACCAGCCCACACACUACAUUGGUUUUCAGCGGUUUGUCUGCGAUCAUUUUUGUUCCUUUUCAUUCUUAUCCCCUCAUAAGUUAACUGCAGUAUCGAUAUUACUCAUCUAUGACUUGACACUUUUUUUGGGGAUCAAAUCCCCUUAUUUUCAGAGUUUAAAUGGUGUCAUAAUGGGUCUGUUUGAUGAGCGCAGGUAGUGAAUCUUGAUUUCACUUCCUUAGCUCUGAUGGAGAUAGGUUUACUCGAAACGCUAAUGUGGUGGAUUCCCAGUAUCCUCAUAUAUCUGAAACGUUCUUAUAUUAUUCCUGUCUGUCAUUCUACAUUUGCUCCCUAAAUUUAUUAUAAUGAAUAAUGCAAAAAAAGCACCAACUUAGCAUAUCUGAAUCAUCAGGUACGGAAUAAGAUUUUUCUUAAGUUAAUCUUCGUUUGGUCAGUUUAGUAAUACUUCUGUCAAAGAAGAUUUAAUAAUUGUUGCUUAUAAAAAUAAAUUGCAGAUUAUUCAUUUCAUUUGUUCGGAAGAAAGAUAUUGCUCCAGUAACAAGGGUAUAGAAGACCGGACUAUAACGUGCUCAAGAAUAAAGAUUAAUGUUUCACUUGGAACAAUUUGGGUAGAUAUUUCGAUGUUGCUCGCAUCUUUUUGGAGAGAUAUGAGAAAAACUUAUUUGCUAUGGAGUAAAGCUUACCUUGAAAACAUUUUCCAUUGUAUUUAUACCGUUUUCGAAAGCUUAAACAACUUUAGAGCAAUGGAACUUCCUAUUCAAAGAAUAGUGAGAUGGAUAAAGGAAGGAAAAUAGUGGCAGGGUUAUUGUCAACUAAUCCCGUGUAUUACAUGUAAAUGUUGAGUCUGAACCUGCUCCCAGGUGUGGCAUGGCCAAGCCAUUGUCACUGGUCCAGAGUCCAGCAUACGUCAAUAUAUAGGAUAGCUAAAGGUGUGAGUUGUGCUUAUCAUGGUCAAUAACAUUAUUAUACCACAUGCAUAGUCCAGACUUCUAUUAUUUUGUGUUUGGUUUCUUUUACUUUCUGUGGUUUCUUACAACAAUGAGACCAAAAAAAGGAGUUUCCGUCUUGCUAUGCAGGUAAAUGGACCUUUACAUGUGCUGCUAGAAGUUCAAUUGGUGGGCUUAUGCAUCCACCAAAUGUCGUGUGCAGUUAUCAUCAACUGUGUAGAACAUGGCGAUGCCAUCUGUAUCAAAUAGUCUCUGCAGCUACAAAGCACACUAGGCAAGAGGAAUAUGAGGCAUUUAUUGCCUGAAAUAUUCCUACUGAAGUUCAUAUACCAUGAUGUUAAUAUGGUUGAAGAUGCAAAAGAAUAAAGAGAUGGAAAGAGGUAAAUGAGGAGGACCAAAAUAUAAGGAGCCAGAAGUGAAGGUACUACAUGAAGAAUGAUUUACACUUUGAUGUACUAAACUCAUGUAAUGGAUGAGAAUUCAUGGAAUACCAAAUUAAUUCGCCUUGAUUUGUGACAGUUUUGAUGAUUGUUAAAUUGUUACAGAACAUUGAACUUAUUAUGUAUUUCAAGAUUUUCUACCAACUA